RNAcentral lists this ribosomal RNA (1117 nucleotides) under unidentified. RNAcentral's name for it is "bacterial SSU rRNA". It matches the Rfam family "Bacterial small subunit ribosomal RNA", at positions 38 to 1137 of the family's 1533-position model. The record is from RNAcentral.
GGGGGACGGCGCUAUCUGUGUCUCGUGCGCGCGAAAGUGGUGCCGGCACCCUUGUUUCCAGUGGCGAACGGGUGAGUAACACGUGGAUAACCUGCCUCAAGGCUGGGGAUAACAUUUGGAAACAGAUGCUAAUACCGAAUAAAACUUAGUAUCGCAUGAUAUCAAGUUAAAAGGCGCUACGGCGUCACCUAGAGAUGGAUCCGCGGUGCAUUAGUUAGUUGGUGGGGUAAAGGCUUACCAAGACGAUGAUGCAUAGCCGAGUUGAGAGACUGAUCGGCCACAUUGGGACUGAGACACGGCCCAAACUCCUACGGGAGGCUGCAGUAGGGAAUCUUCCACAAUGGGCGCAAGCCUGAUGGAGCAACGCCGCGUGUGUGAUGAAGGCUUUCGGGUCGUAAAGCACUGUUGUAUGGGAAGAAAUGCUAAAAUAGGGAAUGAUUUUAGUUUGACGGUACCAUACCAGAAAGGGACGGCUAAAUACGUGCCAGCAGCCGCGGUAAUACGUAUGUCCCGAGCGUUAUCCGGAUUUAUUGGGCGUAAAGCGAGCGCAGACGGUUGAUUAAGUCUGAUGUGAAAGCCCGGAGCUCAACUCCGGAAUGGCAUUGGAAACUGGUUAACUUGAGUGUUGUAGAGGUAAGUGGAACUCCAUGUGUAGCGGUGGAAUGCGUAGAUAUAUGGAAGAACACCAGUGGCGAAGGCGGCUUACUGGACAACAACUGACGUUGAGGCUCGAAAGUGUGGGUAGCAAACAGGAUUAGAUACCCUGGUAGUCCACACCGUAAACGAUGAAUACUAGGUGUUAGGAGGUUUCCGCCUCUUAGUGCCGAAGCUAACGCAUUAAGUAUUCCGCCUGGGGAGUACGACCGCAAGGUUGAAACUCAAAGGAAUUGACGGGGACCCGCACAAGCGGUGGAGCAUGUGGUUUAAUUCGAAGCAACGCGAAGAACCUUACCAGGUCUUGACAUCCUUUGAAGCUUUUAGAAGAUAGAAGUGUUCUCUUCGGAAACAAAGUGACAGGUGGUGCAUGGUCGUCGUCAGCUCGUGUCGUGAGAUGUUGGGGUUAAGUCCCGCAACGAACCGCAACCCUUAUUGUUAAUUGCCAGCAUUCAGUUGGGCA